AAAAGAAGGCUAGGGAGGGAGAGGAUACAGUUGAGAGGUAGUGGGGAGUUUUCUCUGAUAGGCUGAAAGAAGCCUGGGGCUGGAAAUGGGUCCCUCUGAGCUAGAGUCAGUGAAGCCUGGGGCUAGAUGGUGGUUGUCCUGAGUCAGGAGCAAGCUGGAGGCAGUGAAGUCCAAGAGCUAGUGAUAGUAAAGCCACAGGUGUGCUUGGACUGGAAUUUGAGGGGCUGCAGGGAGAGAGGGGAGACCUCUGCUAUCUUCCUCUUGGCACUAGAAAGUGGAGAUAGUUCAAUUCUGUGCCUUCCAGACUGGGAGAGACUUUGAAAUGACCUGAGGUGUGGCAGGCCACCAUGAGAGUGGAGCGACUGUCAGCACAGGCUGCUAAAGAGAAAAGAGUUGUUAUGGCACACCAAGCCCUGAGGUGCCCACCAGUGCUCAUGCUAUUUGAAUGCCGGGGGUUGGCAAAACUGUGAUCAGCUAAACACAGCCCUUCUGUGUGGAGACCAAACCACAAAUAGCAGGAUGGCUAGCCGCAUGGCAUCACGUGAGGUAGGCUCAUCCAAUCAAGGACCCAGAAGAUCUGCCAUGUAAUAAACAUCAUGUGACUUUUCACAACAAACUUCUAUCGAACCCAAAAUGAACCAGCAACACUUGGGCUUCAAUAGAGUCACACCUACCUAGAGAGGGUUUUGGUUCUGGCUUUGUUGAAGGGUUUGCAGGCCUGGAAAAAAAAAAAGUCUGAAGGAAACCCAGCUAGUUCAGUUUUUGAGUGUAAAUCUGAAAUCAGGUAGAGGUUUGGUUUCACAAUGAAGGUUUUACACUGCCCUUGUUCCUAUAGUCAAAGCUGAGAUAUUUCCAGUCUAAAUAAUUGCUUCUAAAAGAAGGGUUUGAUUAAUGAGCCAAUUAUCCUUUGGAUGGCUGGGCAUUUCAGUUAUGCCAUACUGUUUUUGCAUCACCCUGUCUACUGAAGCGGGGUGGGUAGGUACCUAAGUGGUGCCAAAGAGCAAAAAUAGCUAUGCUGCUCACACACUGACUUUCUGUUAAUGGACCAUCCUGUAAACAGAAGCAUUAGGAUUUCAUACAAACCUGCCACUUCCACCACAUCAGCAGCCAAGCUCUGCUGCACUGAAGAAGGAAUUUUUUUUUUAAAUGCAGUUGCACUCCAUUGAAGCUACAAUCAUAUUUUCCACUAACCACAGAUCUGAAACUGCUGACAUGUCUGUUUUAAAUAAAACUGGGAGGAGAACUGAUGUAAUCCUCUCUGGGUUAUGUGUGCAUGUAGGGGUUUGGGGUUUUUUGUCUUCUGCAUUUUUAAACCCUCAAUUUCCCCCUGACUCCUGCAGACUCACUUUUUGUUUGUUUAAAUUCUUUCCUGAUCACAAAUCACUGGGGAAACUGAAUAGCUAUUGCAGCAAACAAGAGCCUAUAAUGUCAAGUGGAAUAGACAAUGGAUUUCUUUAAAGUCCUUAAAGGAACAGAAUGUUAUAGUGGCCUGGCCUACUUUUAAUGUUUUCUUUUUCAGCCAUUUAUUUCUUUCUUCUUAGGAAUUUUGGUUAGUUUAAAAUGAUGGUAGCACAGAUCAAAUGUAGUUAAUGUGUAUGUUGCUUUGGUUGCGUGUUUGACUGGAACAUCUCUUAUUUUGUCAGCAAGAUCAUGAAAGGUUUUUGAAAGACGUAUUUAAGUUGUAUUUUAAUAAACUGCAGCACGUCUAGUUCUGGAAGGAUAAGUGAAA
Molecule: long non-coding RNA, 1729 nt
Organism: Chelonia mydas (Green sea turtle)
Lineage: Eukaryota; Metazoa; Chordata; Testudines; Cheloniidae
Exons: 3
Source: RefSeq, a predicted model, not a curated record